Molecule: long non-coding RNA, 424 nt
Filed under: Hordeum vulgare
Lineage: Eukaryota; Viridiplantae; Streptophyta; Magnoliopsida; Poales; Poaceae
Description: long non-coding RNA (HVUL_LNC015482)
Source: RNAcentral
GGAUGAGUAUUUUUGGUGGCUAUCUCUAAGCACUUGAGCAACCAGUUCAUCAUAAUACCUCAUCCCCUUUUGAUAGUAUUGGAUUUCCUAUGGACUCAAAUGUGAUUUCUCACAAAGUGUAAAAUGAAGAGUCUUGCUUGAAGCUUGAGCCAAUCCUAUCCUUCCUUCAUCAAAGGGGCAUCUCCACACAAUCCUACAACCAAAGCUCUCUCUGGACUAAACCUCAAAGUGUUAGUCCAAGAGACAAUCUAUGUUGUCAUGAAUUAUCAAAACCACCAAAGGAGCAUCUUGUGCUUUAAAUCUCCCCUUUUUUGGUAAUUUAUGACAACAUACAAUCAAAGCUUCAAAUAAAGAUAGGCAUUAGAAUAUGCCAGCUUUGAAAGAUACAUGACUAGUAGACGCUCCCCCUAAAUGUGUGAAGUCC